GGAAGGGGUGGCAUUGGUGAUUAAAGACUGUCUUUCCUACCCUCUUCAGUUCCUCUUUCAACAAUAUGAAGUUGGAACCAGAUACUGAAGAAAGAAAUGGAUCGACUUUUGACUUGCCUGAAUAGAGCCUUUGUGAAACUUUCUCAGCCUUUUGGUGAAGAAGCCUUAAGUUUGGAGUCAAGAGCUAAUGAAGCUCAGUGGUUUCGAAAAACAGCUUGGAACUUGGCUGUGCAAUGUGACAAAGAUCCAGUGAUGAUGAGAGAG
RNAcentral lists this long non-coding RNA (264 nucleotides) under Homo sapiens (human). Its description in RNAcentral is "HSALNT0283418". Lineage: Eukaryota; Metazoa; Chordata; Mammalia; Primates; Hominidae. The record is from RNAcentral.